UACGUAGGGUCCGAGCGUUGUCCGGAAUUAUUGGGCGUAAAGGGCUCGUAGGCGGUCUGUUGCGUCGGGAGUGAAAACUUACAGCUUAACUGUGAGCGUGCUUUCGAUACGGGCAGGCUAGAGUUCGGUAGGGGAGACUGGAAUUCCUGGUGUAGCGGUGAAAUGCGCAGAUAUCAGGAGGAACACCGGUGGCGAAGGCGGGUCUCUGGGCCGAUACUGACGCUGAGGAGCGAAAGCGUGGGGAGCGAACAGG
RNAcentral lists this ribosomal RNA (253 nucleotides) under uncultured bacterium. RNAcentral describes it as "partial 16S ribosomal RNA". It matches the Rfam family "Bacterial small subunit ribosomal RNA", at positions 524 to 776 of the family's 1533-position model. The record is from RNAcentral.